AAUAUUUUUCCUGUUUUCAUGGCAACGGUGGCCAUUUUGAAAAUUCGAAACUCAAAAGUUAAGUCUACAUAAGCUAGGCAAAAUGUGUUAUAAGUUUCAUUAAAUUUAAAGCAUUUUGAAGUUUUUCAUAAUUUUGCUGUUCCCAUGGUAACGGCGGCCAUUUUGAAUAUUCCAAAAGUGCAAUUUUUUCCCUCCAUAAUCAUAUAUACCAUCAUAUACCAUUUAAUGUCUCUAGAAUAAAUUUAACAUUGAUG
RNAcentral lists this long non-coding RNA (254 nucleotides) under Mytilus galloprovincialis (Mediterranean mussel). The record is from RNAcentral. Lineage: Eukaryota; Metazoa; Mollusca; Bivalvia; Mytilida; Mytilidae.